CCGAAGUUAAGCGUGCUUGGGCGAGAGUAGUACUAGGAUGGGUGACCUCCUGGGAAGUCCUCGUGUUGCACCCCUGGG
Molecule: ribosomal RNA, 78 nt
Filed under: Melaleuca sparsa
Lineage: Eukaryota; Viridiplantae; Streptophyta; Magnoliopsida; Myrtales; Myrtaceae
Also listed under: 29 other names
Source: RNAcentral